RNAcentral lists this ribosomal RNA (232 nucleotides) under uncultured bacterium. RNAcentral's name for it is "partial 16S ribosomal RNA". It matches the Rfam family "Bacterial small subunit ribosomal RNA", at positions 15 to 236 of the family's 1533-position model. The record is from RNAcentral.
GAUCAUGGCUCAGGAUGAACGCUAGCUACAGGCUUAACACAUGCAAGUCGAGGGGAAACGACAUCGAAAGCUUGCUUCCGAUAGGCGUCGACCGGCGCACGGGUGAGUAACGCGUAUCCAACCUGCCAACCACUUGGGGAUAACCUUGCGAAAGUAAGACUAAUACCCAAUGAUAUCUCUAGAAGACAUCUGAAAGAGAUUAAAGAUUCAUCGGUGAUGGAUGGGGAUGCGU